This 497-nucleotide ribosomal RNA is filed under the name uncultured bacterium. Its description in RNAcentral is "partial 16S ribosomal RNA". It matches the Rfam family "Bacterial small subunit ribosomal RNA", at positions 28 to 507 of the family's 1533-position model. The record is from RNAcentral.
GAUGAACGCUGGCGGCGUGCCUAAUACAUGCAAGUCGAGCGAACAGACGAGGAGCUUGCUCCUCUGACGUUAGCGGCGGACGGGUGAGUAACACGUGGAUAACCUACCUAUAAGACUGGGAUAACUUCGGGAAACCGGAGCUAAUACCGGAUAAUAUAUUGAACCGCAUGGUUCAAUAGUGAAAGACGGUUUUGCUGUCAAUUAUAGAUGGAUCCGCGCCGCAUUAGCUAGUUGGUAAGGUAACGGCUUACCAAGGCAACGAUGCGUAGCCGACCUGAGAGGGUGAUCGUCCACACUGGAACUAAGACACGGUCCAGACUCCUACGGGAGGCAGCAGUAGGGAAUCUUCCGCAAUGGGCGAAAGCCUGACGGAGCAACGCCGAGUGAGUGAUGAAGGUCUUCGGAUCGUAAAACUCUGUUAUUAGGGAAGAACAAAUGUGUAAGUAACUAUGCACGUCUUGACGGUACCUAAUCAGAAAGCCACGGCUAACUACGUG